This 393-nucleotide ribosomal RNA is filed under the name uncultured bacterium. RNAcentral describes it as "bacterial SSU rRNA". It matches the Rfam family "Bacterial small subunit ribosomal RNA", at positions 521 to 916 of the family's 1533-position model. The record is from RNAcentral.
UAAUACGGAGGGUGCAAGCGUUAUCCGGAUUCACUGGGUUUAAAGGGAGCGUAGGUGGGCUAGUAAGUCAGUGGUGAAAUCUCCGAGCUUAACUUGGAAACUGCCAUUGAUACUAUUGGUCUUGAAUAUUGUGGAGGUUAGCGGAAUAUGUCAUGUAGCGGUGAAAUGCAUAGAUAUGACAUAGAACACCAAUUGCGAAGGCAGCUGGCUACACAUAUAUUGACACUGAGGCUCGAAAGCGUGGGGAUCAAACAGGAUUAGAUACCCUGGUAGUCCACGCCCUAAACUAUGGAUACUCGACAUUUGUGAUACACAAUAAGUGUCUGAGCGAAAGCAUUAAGUAUCCCACCUGGGAAGUACGAUCGCAAGAUUGAAACUCAAAGGAAUUGACGG